GUCUUUUUGUAUUUAAUUUAAAGUCUAACCUGCCCACUGAAUUUUAAAUGGCCGCAGUACACUAACUGUGCAAAGGUAGCAUAAUAAUUAGUCUUUUAAUUGAAGGCUGGAAUGAACGGUUGGACGAAAUAUUAACUGUUUCAUUUGAAUUUAUUUUAGAAUUUUAUUUUUUAGUCAAAAAGCUAAAAUAAAAUUAAAAGACGAGAAGACCCUAUAAAGCUUUAUAUUUAUUUAAAAUAUAAAAAUAAAGAUUUGUUUUGUUAUUUUUUAUGUAAAUAUUUUAUUGGGGUGAUAUUAAAAUUUACAAAACUUUUAAUUUAAAUGUACAUAAAUUUAUGAAUAAUUGAUCCAUUUUUAUGAUUAGAAAUUUAAGUUACUUUAGGGAUAACAGCGUAAUUAUUUUGGAGAGUUCAUAUCGAUAAAAUAGAUUGCGACCUCGAUGUUGGAUUAAGGAAUAGGUUUAGGCGCAGGCCUUUAAAUUAUAAGUCUGUUSGACUUUUAAAUCCUU
This 508-nucleotide ribosomal RNA is filed under the name Anticheta melanosoma. RNAcentral's name for it is "partial 16S ribosomal RNA". The record is from RNAcentral. Lineage: Eukaryota; Metazoa; Arthropoda; Insecta; Diptera; Sciomyzidae.